Molecule: long non-coding RNA, 518 nt
Organism: Acipenser ruthenus (sterlet)
Lineage: Eukaryota; Metazoa; Chordata; Actinopteri; Acipenseriformes; Acipenseridae
Exons: 3
Source: RefSeq, a predicted model, not a curated record
CCGAGCUGUCUCUCACCAGGAACGAGCCGUCCGGCUUCCCCUUCAGCUUCAUCUCCGCGUCCUCCCAGUUCAUGGGACCCCAAUACCAGCCGCACUGCGGGGAGAGAGGGGGCAACACAGGCACGUCAGCAGAUUCUUUCUUACCUUCUCAAGCUCCCUCAGGCUGGCUGCGAAGCUGCAGGAGUCGGGUCUGCUCAGCGGGCAGUGCAGCGCCUGGGCAGGGGGGGGCUGUGUGACAGGGGGCUGGGCGUCUCCCUGCAAGGAGGAAGAAGAGGAGGAGGAGGGGCGAGGGAGCGCCCGCAGGAACGUGUCUAAAAGAAGCAAAGAAAAAAAACACAGCCCUAGGUUCUGGCCUCAUGACCGGAGGGGAAAAGCCUACAGCGGCCACAAGUAAGGGAAGGGAAUAAUGCUGUGAAAUUACUGCUGGUCAUCUCUCCAGGACCCCCUUGUAAAUUAGACCUCAGUCUCAAUGGGUGUAUUCCUAGUUAAAGAAUGAAUAAAUACAUUAAAUAAAUAAA